GAUGAAGAACGCAGCGAAAUGCGAUAAGUAGUGUGAAUUGCAGAAUUUAGUGAAUCAUCGAAUCUUUGAACGCACAUUGCGCCCUUUGGUAUUCCUUAGGGUAUGCCUGUUCGAGCGUCAUCUACACCCUCAAGCACAGCUUGGUGAUGGGCGCCUGUCCCGCCCCCCACGGGGGCGCGGACUCGCCUCAAAUGCAUUGGCGGCCGGCGACCUGGCUUCGAGCGCAGCAGAAACGCGUACUCGGGGACCGGGCGCCCGCUCCCAGAAGCCAAACCACCCAGUUUGACCUCGGAUCAGGUAGGGAUACCCGCUGAACUUAAGCAUAUCAAUAAGCGGAGGA
Molecule: unclassified non-coding RNA, 340 nt
Filed under: soil metagenome
Description: partial contains 5.8S ribosomal RNA, internal transcribed spacer 2, and large subunit ribosomal RNA
Rfam family: 5.8S ribosomal RNA (bases 1-120)
Source: RNAcentral